CCUACGGGUGGCUGCAGUCGAGAAUCAUUCACAAUGGGGGAAACCCUGAUGGUGCGACGCCGCGUGGGGGAAUGAAGGUCUUCGGAUUGUAAACCCCUGUCACGUGGGAGCAAAUUAAAAAGAUAGUACCACAAGAGGAAGAGACGGCUAACUCUGUGCCAGCAGCCGCGGUAACACAGAGGGCUCAAGCGUUGUUCGGAAUCACUGGGGGUAAAGCGUGCGUCGGCUGUUUCGUAAGCCGCGUGGGAAAGGCGCGGGGUCAACCCGCGGACGGCACAUGAUACUGCGAGACUAGAGUGAUGGAGAGGGAAGCGGAAGUCUCGGUGUAGCAGUGAAAUGCAUAGAUAUCGAGAAGAACACUCAUGGCGAAGGCGGGUUCCUGGACAUUAACGGACGCUGAGGCACGAAAGCCAGGGGAGCGAAAGGGAUUAGAUACCCGAGUAGUC
RNAcentral lists this ribosomal RNA (446 nucleotides) under uncultured bacterium. Its description in RNAcentral is "partial 16S ribosomal RNA". It matches the Rfam family "Bacterial small subunit ribosomal RNA", at positions 338 to 795 of the family's 1533-position model. The record is from RNAcentral.